AAAUUAAUUCCGCUUUUGGAGCCAUUUAUCCUGCAACGGUGUUAGGAUGGAUAUUGGGAGCAACAGCAGCCACGCGGCUUGGCCUCUCCUUGCAUAUGCUUGUACUCUCAUUACCAAGAUAUGCUAGCUGAGCUGGGGGUUCCCAUGUUAUGGCCAGCCUGCUUUGACGAAGAAAUUCAAGUUGAAGGGUGGCCUGCUUUUAGGAAUUUACGAAACUGGUCAUGGUGCAUGCUAGGACAAAG
Molecule: unclassified non-coding RNA, 242 nt
Filed under: Hevea brasiliensis (rubber tree)
Lineage: Eukaryota; Viridiplantae; Streptophyta; Magnoliopsida; Malpighiales; Euphorbiaceae
Source: RNAcentral